This 1613-nucleotide long non-coding RNA is filed under the name Triticum aestivum (bread wheat). Its description in RNAcentral is "long non-coding RNA (TAES_LNC015105)". Lineage: Eukaryota; Viridiplantae; Streptophyta; Magnoliopsida; Poales; Poaceae. The record is from RNAcentral.
AUGCUCAUUUGCUAUUUUUAGGUUGUGGUUGCCGGCUAUACCGGUUUGCUGUCCACUGGUUAUUUUUGGAUCACCUUUACUACUUUGAUUCCAUGUUGCUUGUGUGUGAAAAUUUAAGGCGAGCUCCAUCUCGUACAUGGAAUACAACACCUCCCCAACAUUUCAUCCCAAAUAAGGUGUCGUAGGCAUGGGAAAAUGAAAAUAAAAAGGAGAAGAAAAAACUAAACAAAAACAUAAAUGGGACAAACACAUAUAAUAAAAAAAGAUACAAAACAACAAAGAGAAAAAAAGGAAAAUAUUUUUGUUGUUGUGUAUUUAAAAAGGUUCAUCGCGUAUUUUAAUAUCGUGCAUACAAAAAGUUAAUCAUGUAUUUAAUCAAUAUUCACAGGUAUUGCUAAAUGUUGAACAUUAUUUGAAAAAUAUUCAUGAUGAAUUAAAUAAUAUCCAACGUGUAUUUAAAUAAUAUCCAUCAUGUACUGCAAAAUGUAAAUCGUGCAUCAAAAAUAUUUUAUCUUCUGUAUUUCUAAAUGUUCAUCAUGCAUUUAAAAACAUUUAUUAUAUAUUAAAAAUAUUCAUCACAUAACAAAACAAGUUUAGCGUGACUUUUUUAACAGUCUUCACUGUGUAUUUUAAAAAUGUGCCGGUACUUCAAAGAAUACUCACAUAUUUAAAAUAUGUUCAUUGUAUGUUUCAGAAUGUUCAACAUCUACAUAAACAGUCAUUCAUGCAUUUAUGAAAAUUUUACCAUAUAUUUUGAAAAAAGCUCAUUGGAUAAUUUAGAAAAUAUUCAUCAUGUAUCUCAAAAAUGUUAAUCUAGUCUUCAUAACAGUUUAUAAUAUAUUUAAAAAAGUCCAUCUGUUAUUAAAAACAUUUAUCUUGUGUUCUUAAAAAAUUCAUCAUGUAAUUUAAAAAUAGUCAUUGAGUAUUAGAAAUUAUUCAUCGCAUAGCAAAAAAGAUUAUACAGAAUUUAUAAUUUUUGAAAAAGUUUGUGUGUUAUAAGAUAAAUAUUCAUCCAAUUAAUGUGUACGGGAAAUUGAAAACAAGAAGAAAAAUAAGAAAUAAAACUAAAAGAUAAAUGGUACAAGCACAACUAAUAAAAAAGACGAAAAAGAAGGAAAAUCAAAGACAUACAAAGAUUAAAUGAAAAAUGGUUCUAAAAAUGGAGUAAUUGGAAAUGAGGAAAAAAAAGGUUAAUGACGGCUACCGUAACACCUUGUCCAGACAUUUACUAGGAAAAUAAGCUCAAAUACGUGAAAGCCAAAAAGGGGAUAAGAGUAUUAAGAAGCCCAGAUAGAAAUGGCCAAAAUAAAUGACAGCUGUCGUAAAGCCAUGUCCAAAUAUCUGUCCAAUCAUGCUCAUUUCCUAUUUUCAGGUUGCGGUUGACGGUUAAAACGGGUUGAUGUCCACUGGUUAUUUCUGGAUCACUUUUACUACUUCGAUUCCAUGUUGAUUGCGUCUAACAAUUCAGCCCCAGCUCCAUCGCGUAUUCUCUCUCAAAAAAUGCCCCAUCUCGUACAUGGGAUAUAAGAGCUUCUCCAACACCUCCCCAACAUUUCAUUCCAAAUAAGGGUGUUACAGGCAUGGGAAAAUGAAAAAUAAAAAGGAGAAGAAAA